Molecule: ribosomal RNA, 350 nt
Filed under: Pseudomonas aeruginosa
Lineage: Bacteria; Pseudomonadati; Pseudomonadota; Gammaproteobacteria; Pseudomonadales; Pseudomonadaceae
Description: partial 23S ribosomal RNA
Rfam family: Bacterial large subunit ribosomal RNA
Source: RNAcentral
AGCCUGCGAAGGUGACCUGUGAGGGUUGCUGGAGGUAUCAGAAGUGCGAAUGCUGACAUAAGUAACGAUAAAGCGGGUGAAAAGCCCGCUCGCCGGAAGACCAAGGGUUCCUGUCCAACGUUAAUCGGGGCAGGGUGAGUCGACCCCUAAGGCGAGGCCGAAAGGCGUAGUCGAUGGGAAACAGGUUAAUAUUCCUGUACUUGGUGUUACUGCGAAGGGGGGACGGAGAAGGCUAUGUUAGCCGGGCGACGGUUGUCCCGGUUUAAGCAUGUAGGCUGGUUAUCCAGGCAAAUCCGGAUAAUCAAGGCUGAGGUGUGAUGACGAGGCACUACGGUGCUGAAGUAACAAAU